Molecule: long non-coding RNA, 183 nt
Organism: Octopus sinensis (East Asian common octopus)
Lineage: Eukaryota; Metazoa; Mollusca; Cephalopoda; Octopoda; Octopodidae
Exons: 2
Source: RefSeq, a predicted model, not a curated record
AAAAUUUAAAACAAAAAUGGUUGUUGAAAAAUCUAAAAAACCUUUAACUGUCAGCGAAUUUGUGCGACAAUAUAAUGAAGCAAGCCCAGAAUUACGAAGAAUGGUCCGUGAAGAGGUAAAUAUAAUUGCCGAAGUUCCGGAUCACGCUUACGAUGAAAUUCAAUCCAUCAUGGAUAGAAGAAA